CCUACGGGGGGCAGCAGUGAGGAAUAUUGGUCAAUGGACGCAAGUCUGAACCAGCCAUGCCGCGUGCAGGAAGACGGCUCUAUGAGUUGUAAACUGCUUUUGUACGAGGAUAAACGCAGUUACGUGUAUCUGUUUGAAAGUACCGUACGAAUAAGGAUCGGCUAACUCCGUGCCAGCAGCCGCGGUAAUACGGAGGAUCCAAGCGUUAUCCGGAUUUAUUGGGUUUAAAGGGUGCGUAGGCGGGAUGUCAAGUUAGCUGUGAAAUGUCGGGGCUCAACCCCGGCCUUGCAGCUGAUACUGGCGUGCUUGAGAGGGCGUGAGGUAGGCGGAAUGCGUGGUGUAGCGGUGAAAUGCUUAGAUAUGACGCAGAACCCCGAUUGCGAAGGCAGCUUAC
RNAcentral lists this ribosomal RNA (394 nucleotides) under uncultured bacterium. RNAcentral's name for it is "partial 16S ribosomal RNA". It matches the Rfam family "Bacterial small subunit ribosomal RNA", at positions 338 to 729 of the family's 1533-position model. The record is from RNAcentral.